GUGAACGCUGGCGGUAGGCCUAACACAUGCAAGUCGAACGGCAGCACAGUAAGAGCUUGCUCUUACGGGUGGCGAGUGGCGGACGGGUGAGGAAUACAUCGGAAUCUACUUUUUCGUGGGGGAUAACGUAGGGAAACUUACGCUAAUACCGCAUACGACCUACGGGUGAAAGCAGGGGAUCUUCGGACCUUGCGCGAUUGAAUGAGCCGAUGUCGGAUUAGCUAGUUGGCGGGGUAAAGGCCCACCAGGGCGACGAUCCGUAGCUGGUCUGAGAGGAUGAUCAGCCACACUGGAACUGAGACACGGUCCAGACUCCUACGGGAGGCAGCAGUGGGGAAUAUUGGACAAUGGGCGCAAGCCUGAUCCAGCCAUACCGCGUGGGUGAAGAAGGCCUUCGGGUUGUAAAGCCCUUUUGUUGGGAAAGAAAAGCAGCAGGUUAAUACCCCGCUGUUCUGACGGUACCCAAAGAAUAAGCACCGGCUAACUUCGUG
RNAcentral lists this ribosomal RNA (491 nucleotides) under uncultured bacterium. RNAcentral's name for it is "partial 16S ribosomal RNA". It matches the Rfam family "Bacterial small subunit ribosomal RNA", at positions 29 to 507 of the family's 1533-position model. The record is from RNAcentral.